Lactuca sativa (garden lettuce) is the source of this 107-nucleotide small nucleolar RNA. NCBI's taxonomy places the organism in Eukaryota, Viridiplantae, Streptophyta, Magnoliopsida, Asterales, Asteraceae. The record is from RefSeq and is a predicted model, not a curated record.
AGGUCAUUUUGUGGGAAAUUCCUAAUUAAACCUUUGUAGCGUUCCCAUGCUUCAUACAGCGACUCCCCCAUUUGAUGUUCAAAAUUGGAGAUGGCCUUUUUGAGCUU